UUAUGUAAAAACCAUUGUCUGAUGGCUUGCACAUGCAUCAAAUAAUAUGUGUGCCAAUGAGCCACCAUUCAGACCAAUUAGUACACUUGAAAAAAAAAAAAGGCCCUAGACCCACCACACAAUAUCAUUUACUCCACCACAACUCCGACAGACCGACACAGAGUGAAUACUCUCUUCGACACAGCCUCUUUCACUCUCUCGACAACUCUCCUAAAACAAACUCUUUCAAUCUCCUCAGUUAUAUAUAUUUUGGUCAUUCUUCAAAGCACCUAAGAUUUCUCUCUCUUAGUUUUUCAAUAUCCAAAUCUCCUCAUCUCUAUUACACCUAAGAUCUGCCUCUCUCACUCACUCCAGAUCUCAUCAGAAGAGAGAUGUCCGGUAUGGGAGACAGGUAUGUGGGCACAAGACGGAGUGAGGAUCCGAAGGCUGGAGAAGCAAAUUAGGGUUUUCCGAACCUGACCUCAGUCAGAUCUUCAGUCAUUGCCUCACUCGUGGAAGCCCCUUGGCUAAUUAGGGUUUUGGGAAUUGGGGAAACUGGACCCUGAGGAAUUGGGGAUUUUAGGGUUUAGGAGGAGGGGUUGAGGGUGUAGAAGAUAAGGUCACCGAAUUAAGGUGAUACCGAGGGAGGCAAGGGAGUCGUCGGGAGAGGCGGAGAGAAGAGGGAGCGUCGGAGAUGGAUUCGGAGAGGGAUUGUUUGAGGUGGUGGAGAGAACACAGAUUCGGGACCUCGAUUCAGAGAGUCUGUUUGGACUCAAUAGCAGAGCUUGAAUUUACGAAUUGGAAUAUAGAGCAUGAAUAAUUCAAAAGCAAGUGAUUUAAUUACUGGGCUUGGAGAUAAAGAUGGACGACGAAGUCCGCUUGGUUCCCUUCUAUUCCAUCAAUUCAAGCCAUACAUUAAACAUUGAGGUCUUGAUUAUAUGUCCACCGCCAAGCUUUCUCACAACUGAACACAUGAACUUGCUCCCCAUUGACUUGAUUUUGAAGGAUACUUGACCACAACAAUAAUUUGGUGUUCGUGUCCUCCGAGUUUCCCUGUGUUUGGGUAGCAGAGUGGAGAUAAGGCAAUGGUUUUAUGCUUUGUGGAGUUUGUGGAUCCAAAGUGUGCUUUCACAGCUAUGGAAGCUCUACAAGGGACUCUUGUUUUGGCUCUAAUUGGUGGUCAUUUAAAACUUUGUUGGUUUUUGCUGUAACGGUUCUGUGCUACUUUGCUAUUCUAUCUAUUUGAUUUGCUUUGCUGGAGAUUAUAUCUAGUACAAUAGGAUCAUUGUAAACAGGUAUGUCCAGAACUACAAGGAAAAGGUGAAGUUGGAGCAUAGGUUCUGAAGUGCACAGUUGGGAAAGGAGGAUGAGAGGCAGAGCUUUUAGCAACAUUUUUUUGGAGAUUUGCAGGGGAGCAACAAUGGUUGAUCAGAUUGUGACUAUCUGUUGAAUGACCAAAUAAUGAGAUGCCAGUAAGUUUACUUGAAAGUUGUCUGCAAUUUGUUGUUUCCUUUGGCCAAAACUUGCAGUUUAUUAUUGCAAUUUAUGCAGGAAGUAAAAAUGAUGAAAAGAGCUGUUUGUGCUGCAUUUGCUGAAAGAGUUUCAUCAAAUGCUGAGGUAGCUAAUAACACCACCACACAUCUAACACUUUUAAGAAUUGUAACCUGUUGAAAACAAAUUCUAUACAGGGAAGUAAGUACCUUUUUGCUGUAUGUGAGAUUUUGCCUGGAAAUGGAAACAAGUGUAGAGAACUUAUGACGAUAUUUUAGGGUCUUUAUGUAGGGGAAUGUUUAAUUCUUUGGGCUUUUCAGUGACAGAAGGAUGAUUGAAAUUGAUUAUGUUUUCCUGUUAUUUUCGUGUUAACAGUAGCAUCAAUCAUACUAAACUGUGAGUGAGAACUGUUGAUUAGGUAGAAUUAUGUUUGAUUGCGUGAUCUUGAUUUAAAGUCUAGCAAGAGAGCUUUACCCCUUUUGUAUACUUGCACAUUUUACCUUAGUAUACAUCCCUCUCUCACUUUGUCUAAUUCCUAAGGUCACAGUGUUUAUAUAUGAACAUUUUGGUACUAAGUGUUGCGGAUCCUGAUGGAACUUGGCGAAACUGCAAGCUCAAUAUAAAGAACUGCUCAUCCGCUCAGCUCAAAACCAUUCAAAGUCAGUCUCACAAAAGACAUUAAUUUCUAAUCUAUAGUAGACCAAUAUUAGAUCGUUGUUUACAUGGCAUUUAAAUUCUGUUAGUAUUUUACAGACUUCGGGUUGCUAUCAAUGGAAUUUUAUUGUGUAGUGGUUGUUUCAAAUUUGUGUGUGCAUUUUUUGCUUUGAUAUUGAAUUUUUUGAAAAUUUCAGAGUUGGAUUUGAAUCUUGAGUACAAGCCAGAUGUCAGGGAAGACUUAGAGGCUGUGGGGAAGAAACUUGAAGAAUGCACCGGACAAUCAUGUGGAAGAUGGAGCAGUGAGGAAAGCUUUUGAAGUGAUAGAGAGAAAUUUGUUUAGGUAGAAGUUGUACUGAGGCUAGAAGUUGGUCUUUUUUGGGUUGGCCUUGAUUGCAGUUCGCCUUAUUUUGUGAUCCCUUAUUUUGUGGAUACAUCGGAUCCAUUUAGAAUGCUAUGGGAUUAUAACAGAUUUCUAUUAUGAUUAAAUUACCAUUCUUUUGGUCA
Rosa chinensis is the source of this 2631-nucleotide RNA transcript. RefSeq lists it as uncharacterized. The transcript has 7 exons. The record is from RefSeq and is a predicted model, not a curated record. Lineage: Eukaryota; Viridiplantae; Streptophyta; Magnoliopsida; Rosales; Rosaceae.